CCUUAUACUGCAGUCGAGCGACAGACGAGGAGCUUGCUCCUCUGACGUUAGCGGCGGACGGGUGAGUAACACGUGGAUAACCUACCUAUAAGACUGGGAUAACUUCGGGAAACCGGAGCUAAUACCGGAUAAUAUAUUGAACCGCAUGGUUCAAUAGUGAAAGACGGUUUUGCUGUCACUUAUAGAUGGAUCCGCGCCGCAUUAGCUAGUUGGUAAGGUAACGGCUUACCAAGGCAACGAUGCGUAGCCGACCUGAGAGGGUGAUCGGCCACACUGGAACUGAGACACGGUCCAGACUCCUACGGGAGGCAGCAGUAGGGAAUCUUCCGCAAUGGGCGAAAGCCUGACGGAGCAACGCCGCGUGAGUGAUGAAGGUCUUCGGAUCGUAAAACUCUGUUAUUAGGGAAGAACAAAUGUGUAAGUAACUAUGCACGUCUUGACGGUACCUAAUCAGAAAGCCACGGCUAACUACGUGCCAGCAGCCGCGGUAAUACGUAGGUGGCAAGCGUUAUCCGGAAUUAUUGGGCGUAAAGCGCGCGUAGGCGGUUUUUUAAGUCUGAUGUGAAAGCCCACGGCUCAACCGUGGAGGGUCAUUGGAAACUGGAAAACUUGAGUGCAGAAGAGGAAAGUGGAAUUCCAUGUGUAGCGGUGAAAUGCGCAGAGAUAUGGAGGAACACCAGUGGCGAAGGCGACUUUCUGGUCUGUAACUGACGCUGAUGUGCGAAAGCGUGGGGAUCAAACAGGAUUAGAUACCCUGGUAGUCCACGCCGUAAACGAUGAGUGCUAAGUGUUAGGGGGUUUCCGCCCCUUAGUGCUGCAGCUAACGCAUUAAGCACUCCGCCUGGGGAGUACGACCGCAAGGUUGAAACUCAGGAAAAUGUGACGGAGGA
This 890-nucleotide ribosomal RNA is filed under the name Staphylococcus sp. RNAcentral's name for it is "bacterial SSU rRNA". It matches the Rfam family "Bacterial small subunit ribosomal RNA", at positions 47 to 920 of the family's 1533-position model. Lineage: Bacteria; Bacillati; Bacillota; Bacilli; Caryophanales; Staphylococcaceae. The record is from RNAcentral.